UUAAAAACCCUCUUUUGUUCUCUCCCCAUCGUCGCUAACAGCAAAAACCAAUUCCAGCCAGGGUGCCCGGCACGUCCGGCUUUUGCUAGGUGCAUCGGGCGUCACCCCUCCGCCAUCGAGAAGCUAAGUCCCUCUUCUAUCCUCUAGUCAUGUCAGUUUUUUUCUGGUCGUCCCUUUCCGUCCCUAUUCUCCUUUUCCUUUCUUCUUUUUGGAUGGGUAACGGUGGUGCAACAGUGCAGCAGCUCUGACGCGCCACGGUGAGGGUGUUGUCGCCGUCUCCUUCUCCGCUGGCUUGAGUUCGUCCCUCUCCGUCCGGUGGUUCUCCCUCACUACGGCGACUCAAAUCUGGAGCUUACACUGGAGGUUCAAAUCCUCCAGGUUCGAUCCGGUUGCUCCGAUGUCGCGGCAUCGAGCCUCCCCUCCUCCCGGUGGUGGCUCAGACUUCUGGAGCAGGUGGAAAGGGCUCUCCAGGCUGUGAUAGCGGCACCCCCUUCCCUACUCCGUUCGAUGGCGUGGUGCGUAUUGGCGGCGGCCUCCAGCUCCCUGCCGGAGGUCGUGAUCGCCAUCUCUGGCAGUCCGUCUGGUACUGUGAAGGCAGAGCUGAUGUGAGGGGCCUUUGUGAGGACUAUUGUCCGGAUUGUUUCAGAAAAAACCCUAUGGAGCUUUACUUUCUUGGGAUUGGCUUUGGGCAUUUUUCUGUGCAACUUUAGAGCUGAGGCGUUCUCCACCCUCCAGUUUGUCUGUCCAUUUCCUCUCCUCUCCUAUGGCGGUUUCUCGUCUAUAUUCUACCCAUCACUUCUUUACAACGGCAACACCCCCGCCCAUCAUAGUAAAGGAUUACGCUCCUAGACGGACCAGUUAUGCCUCUCGCCAGUUCAAAUAAACUUUUUGUGGCUUGCCUAUUUAUUUUUUUUUGUUGGUUUGGAGCUCCCUUGAUGAUGGUCUCUGGUUUGAAUCGUCCAAAGAAACCUUAGUUACUUGGAUGCGUUGGUUUGAUUGUCUUUUAAUUGAGCAGUUUAUGGCUAGGUUCAUUGAGCUUUGUCUAUGUAUUGUGAUCUGUGAUGAGAGCUUGCGUUAGGGUACCAACCCAAGACAUCCUUCUUAUUCCAUUUCUCGCAACGUAGAUAGAAAUUCACCACGGAUUAAUAGACUGAAUUGAUGACCCCCUACCUAGUUUCACUGGGGUUCGUGCUGAAUUGUUACAGGAAGAUGGUUGACCGGAAUUCUUGUUUUCAAGAUGACUUACUAUAAUUGUAAUGUUCUUACUUGACGUGACUUUUUAAAGUCAAUUUUCUUUUAUACUUUGCUCGUCGGGUCAAUCAAUAUAUCAUGCUCUUGUAAUUCA
This is a non-coding RNA of Punica granatum (pomegranate), 1345 nucleotides long. The record is from RefSeq and is a predicted model, not a curated record. Lineage: Eukaryota; Viridiplantae; Streptophyta; Magnoliopsida; Myrtales; Lythraceae.